AUGUGGGGAGGUCUCUCAGUCAUUCAGCUUCCUCUUUCUUAUCAAUGCUGCAAUGAGCCAAGCUUUGGAAACAUGCUGAAGGCCUCAGGCUCCCAGGAGCAACACAUAACUUUACAGAGUGCUAUAAGGCUGAGCAGUCCGGCACGAGGACUGAGCAAGAAGCCCUUGAUUUCCAUAGGAGGCCACAGGCAAAAUGUGGAACACAGGAGGCUCUCUCUGAGCACCAGGCAACGCUGCUGUGCUGUGCGGGUGAUGGAGCACUGGCACAGGCUGCCCAGAGGCUGUGGGGUCUCCUCCUUGGAGAUCUUCAGAAGCUGCCUGGACGUGGGCCUGGGCACCCUGCACUGAGUGUCCCUGCUUGGGCAGGGGUUGGAGCAGGUGGACCCAGAGGUUCCUUCCCACCUCAGCCAUACUGUGAUGCUGUAGGAAAAUUUGCCUUCCAGCUGCUGUGGUGCAGGUUUCAGUGCUGGGUUUGCUCCCUGCUUGCUGCAGUGCCCUGCCCAGGUGGUUUCUUGCCAUGAACCCAGGGUGGCUUGGGGUGGCUGCUCCUCCUCUGCCUUGUGGGGCAGGUAGGAGCCCUGUGAAAUGUUUCUCCCUGUGCAGUGUCAACUAGGUCACCCUGCAGAGGUACUAAAUCUUCACAAACUCACCUCAUCCUCCCCAGAAUCCCUUCAAGGCAUGUGGCUGACCUCUGCUUUCUGUGUCCAUGAUUGAGGAUGGAGGUGAACAUGCUGUGGGCAAACACCUGCCAAAACUACGUCCCCUGCGGUAACACCUAACCUAGAUACAAACCCUCGGCUAAGGAGGUUAUUCCUCUUCAAACCAGCAGCAAUAUCCCUGCACCACUGGAGCUACUCCGCAUAGCAUGGAGGGCAGGCUGCCUGCUUUUCCUGCCUGCAGGAGCAGUGCAAGCUUUCAUCCUCCCCUCCUGAUCGUGGCUGCGCAGGCAGCAUGCUGGCCAGGCCAUUUAUCUCCUCAUCACUAGGAUUUUGAUAAAUUAUUUAAAAUGCAGCCAGCAGGAGGGGAGAUCUGGCUGACCGCAUGGUUAUAUUUCAGAAAAGCAAGCUUUUUGUUAUGCAUAAAGGCAGAGGUAUGGAAUUUAGUGUCCUGGAUACACGCAACACAUUCCAGACAUGGGUGAGACCUUUAUGAAAGGUGGAUAUGUAUUUUUAAACCGGCAUGCUGCUGCUCAUGGACAUUUUUGCAUGCCUCCUCUCUGCAGAACCUCACUGCUUUUCACCCAUCAGAUCCAUCAGGGAUGCUGCCAGCCUCUCCCAGCUUCUAUUUUAUCCUAUUGCCUUUAAUGAGGCAUAAAUAGUACUGACACACACCAGUGUAUCAAACAACAUCGCCAGACAGAAAAAGCACACAGCACAUCAGUCAUGGCUCUUAAUUUGUUUGUGGAACUGCUGCCUGGUUCUCUGCUGCAGCCCCAGGGCUGCACCUUGCAGUCCUUCUUCCUCAGAGAGCUCUUCCCUGGGUGUGCAGAUGGGAGUCCCUCCAUGAUCGAGGUUUGGAUGUUCAGCACUGCCACCAUCCCCAGUAUAAAUACUUUGGCACUUGCACAUAGCGUAAGCCCAUUCAAAGCAUGUCGUAAAAAGGCUUAAAUGAGUUCUUAAAGCCAUAAGUUUUACUUCAGCUCUGAAGCAUUGCAGAAUUCUGACCAUUAUGGAUUUAUCCCUUUCCCAAAUUACAUUUUUUUUUAAUGAGAGAUUCAUCCUCAAGCUCGGAAGUGCUAAAAUGCCUGUAAAAUGAAUUGCAUCAAAGGUAAAUAAAUAAAUAAAUAAAAAGAGAGAGAAAGAUGCA
RNAcentral lists this long non-coding RNA (1806 nucleotides) under Numida meleagris (helmeted guineafowl). RNAcentral describes it as "lncRNA (ENSNMEG00000008214.1)". The record is from RNAcentral. Lineage: Eukaryota; Metazoa; Chordata; Aves; Galliformes; Numididae.